RNAcentral lists this ribosomal RNA (467 nucleotides) under uncultured bacterium. RNAcentral describes it as "partial 16S ribosomal RNA". It matches the Rfam family "Bacterial small subunit ribosomal RNA", at positions 29 to 507 of the family's 1533-position model. The record is from RNAcentral.
ACGAACGCUGGCGGCGUGCUUAACCCAUGCACGUCGAACGGAAAGGCCCUGCUUUUGUGGGGUGCUCGAGUGGCGAACGGGUGAGUAACACGUGAGUAACCUGCCCUUGACUUUGGGAUAACUUCAGGAAACUGGGGCUAAUACCGGAUAGGAGCUCCUGCUGCAUGGUGGGGGUUGGAAAGUUUCGGCGGUUGGGGAUGGACUCGCGGCUUAUCAGCUUGUUGGUGGGGUAGUGGCUUACCAAGGCUUUGACGGGUAGCCGGCCUGAGGGGGUGACCGGCCACAUUGGGACUGAGAUACGGCCCAGACUCCUACGGGAGGCAGCAGUGGGGAAUAUUGCACAAUGGGCGGAAGCCUGAUGCAGCAACGCCGCGUGCGGGAUGACGGCCUUCGGGUUGUAAACCGCUUUCGCCUGUGACGAAGCGUGAGUGACGGUAAUGGGUAAAGAAGCACCGGCUAACUACGUG